This 1000-nucleotide long non-coding RNA is filed under the name Numida meleagris (helmeted guineafowl). RNAcentral's name for it is "lncRNA (ENSNMEG00000001568.1)". Lineage: Eukaryota; Metazoa; Chordata; Aves; Galliformes; Numididae. The record is from RNAcentral.
UCAUAACAACAACAGCAGCACCCACCACACCCGCUGCCACCACCCACAGCAGCCAGCUCACCAGCAAGGACAUCUCCCGGCACAGCCCAGGCCCAGGUAACACAGCUGCAGGGAGGCAGGGGCUCUCCCUGCACUGCUGAUUUCCUUGGAAGAGCAGGAAUUAAAGGCUGCACUGAAUGCAGGCAUUUGGGGAUAUGAGGACAACAGAACAUUUUCAUCUUUCUCAGAGAGCUGCCAGUGAGGGGAUGACACCACCGCAAGAGCUCAGAAUUUAUGAGGGUGCUGCUAAGAAAUUCUGAGCCCACAGACAGCAGGUUCCAUGGCUGGGCACCUCAGCAAAGCAAGCACACCUCACAUCAGAGUGUCAGGGCAUCACAGGUCAAAAUGGGCCCUGCAGAGUCUCCCUUGUGCUGGCCACAAGUUUACAUAUGGCUAUGCAGGGAUGGGAGAAGGCUGUCUUGACCUAUCUCACUGCAUCCAUCCAUUUUUCCAUCCACUCACAACAACAGCAGAACCCACCACACGCACUGUCACCACCCAGAGCAGCCACGGCACCAAGAAGGACAACUCACAACAGGGUGCAGAUCCAGGAACAAGCAACGAGAACACACUGAGUUCCUGCUGUAAAUUGAUCCUGUGGGUUAACCUGGCUUGUGCCUGCCUCCUGCUCCUCACUGCCAUAACCAUCACCAUCGUGCUCUGCCAAAGUAAGUCGCACCCUCACACCAAAGAGCACAGCCCGCUCCUCCAGGGGAAGGGGCUCUCUGCCUAUUGCCCUCACGCACCUAUUGCGUAUCCAGGACACAGGCAAUACAAAGGGACGGCUCUUAAAAUUCUUUUCUAGACUUUCCUCAUCUAUAGAUUCAGCUUGAAAAGUAUUUAUCCCAUACUACACUGUGAGACAAUAAUUGAAAACACAGAAACCUGAUUCUACCAGACUACACUGUCUCCACCAUCCUGAAAUACAUAUAUCAUGGCUGGAAGUAGCAAAACCCAAAGC